This 18-nucleotide small nuclear RNA is filed under the name Arabidopsis thaliana (thale cress). Its description in RNAcentral is "snRNA_11750". The record is from RNAcentral. Lineage: Eukaryota; Viridiplantae; Streptophyta; Magnoliopsida; Brassicales; Brassicaceae.
CGUCCUCAGCGACGGACC